Molecule: ribosomal RNA, 500 nt
Filed under: uncultured Lactobacillus sp.
Lineage: Bacteria; Bacillati; Bacillota; Bacilli; Lactobacillales; Lactobacillaceae
Description: partial 16S ribosomal RNA
Source: RNAcentral
UACGUAGUUAGCCGUGACUUUCUGGUUGAUUACCGUCAAAUAAAGACCAGUUACUGCCUCUAUCCUUCUUCACCAACAACAGAGCUUUACGAUCCGAAAACCUUCUUCACUCACGCGGCGUUGCUCCAUCAGACUUGCGUCCAUUGUGGAAGAUUCCCUACUGCUGCCUCCCGUAGGAGUUUGGGCCGUGUCUCAGUCCCAAUGUGGCCGAUCAGUCUCUCAACUCGGCUACGCAUCAUUGCCUUGGUAGGCCUUUACCCCACCAACUAGCUAAUGCGCCGCGGGCUCAUCCUAAAGUGACAGCUUACGCCGCCUUUCAACUUGAAUCAUGCGAUUCAUGUUGUUAUCCGGUAUUAGCACCUGUUUCCAAGUGGUAUCCCAGUCUUUAGGGCAGAUUGCCCACGUGUUACUCACCCAUCCCGCCGCUAGCGUCCAACAAAUCACCCCGAAGGGAUCUUGAAUUCAGCUCGCUCGACUUGCAUGUAUUAGGCACGCCGCCG